Molecule: long non-coding RNA, 1504 nt
Organism: Mastomys coucha (southern multimammate mouse)
Lineage: Eukaryota; Metazoa; Chordata; Mammalia; Rodentia; Muridae
Exons: 2
Source: RefSeq, a predicted model, not a curated record
GUGCAGUUUGUUAAUAACGACUUUUCCCCUCUUGCCCUGGUCUCCAAGGUUUUUGUUUUAGGGAAGAAAGGGAUCCUUAAGGCUCCACGUAGGGGUCUAACGUCCAUUCCUGCUGAUCCUCUUAGAAGUUCAGUUUCGUUUUUUAACAGUUUGUGUCGGGGGUCUUUACGUCAUGGUCUCCAUCAGGUCAAGGCUUGGAAAGUCACUUUAUAGCCGGAACUGGAAAUAAGUGCUGUGGUCGCCCCUGACUCCAGCAGGAUCUGAAAUCUGAGAGACCUUGCGCGUGUGAUCCUCACCCAUCCUCCCAUACGCAGGUGGCCCCUAGCUCCUAGAGGUUUCAGUGUACUUACUUCCUAGACUGAUUCUACACUCUCAGGAUCGAUUUGGGUGCGACCAGCGAUCAGCAGCAACGGAGCUAGGCUCAGUUCCCUCCAGCACGGAGCACUUAGCCCUCUGGAAACUUUGAGCUACAGAUAGUACCUAGGAUCUCCGGGUUGCUUCCUUCGAGCCGUUAGACCAGCCCCUGGCCUCGUUCCUCCACUUCGAUUAGGACCGGGUGUGCUCCGAGGAUCCGAGCAUCGGGAAGACAGUCCCUGGUACAGUAUGGACUUUUCUGCGCUCGCGGGAGACCAUGCGGGAGGCCAAAGGCUCCAGCUCUAGAGAAGAGGAACCCAGAGCUGUGAGCAGCAUGGGGGUGGGGCGGGAAAUGCGAGGCGGGCGGAGUGGGAAGUCCUGAAACCUCCCACCUCACCGUGCCAAGCCGACCCUGAACAUCCGACCCGACCCGGCUAGGAAGGGCUCCUGUCCUCGGAACGAGUGUUCGGAGAGGCGAACUGCGAGACGCGGCAAUCGAAAGAUCUUCCGUCACUGUUCUUCUCCAGCGGCCCUGGAUCUGUGUACACCCAGGGGCUCACUCCGACUGCAUCUGAAACCCACAGAGUCGAGAGAGGUGUCGCGUUCUGUCUGGAUACUCAAAGCCUUGCUCUCCCCGGGAUCAGAGACUCUUAGGGCGCGGUGCGGCCAGUGUGCGGAUGGAUGAAGCGAGAGUGCAGGCUGAAGGAUGAAGUGAGCUGUGUCGCUCUCUUUCGGCGUUCUGUCCUGCCUAGCGCAUCGGGAACAUUUCCUACCCAUAAAAAGGCUGGGCACUAAAUCGUCUUGCCCCCCCAGCGCAGCUAGAAAGAAUAGAGAGGCUAACCUGCCACCUCCCCACAGAGUUCCCACUUGCAGGAGCUCCUCCUGCGUCCCCAGGCUCUGCUCUCUGGGUUGAGCCAAAGGUGAUGCCCACCCCCCUCGAUCGCCCUCCCCCACCCUGGAGCUCCAACUAGUCAGAAGGGCGCUAGAUCCUCCAGCCCGCCUACGGAGAUGCGAUCCUGGGGGCUCCUCCCGCGUGGCUGUGGAGAGGUUCGCCAUCUCCUGGUCUUGAAGAAAAUCUUUACUGAGGAGGACUGCUGGACAGCUUAGCUCCUAGGCUGGGGUCGGAAGACCGUUUAUUCACCAUCCGGAA